UAUGAAGAACGUAGCGAAAUGCGAUAAGUAAUAUGAAUUGCAGAAUUCAGUGAAUCAUCGAAUCUUUGAACGCACAUUGCGCCCUCUGGUAUUCCGGGGGGCAUGCCUGUUCGAGCGUCAUUAUAACCACUCAAGCUCUCGCUUGGUAUUGGGGUUCGCGGUUCCGCGGCCCCUAAAAUCAGUGGCGGUGCUUGUCGGCUCUACGCGUAGUAAUACUCCUCGCGAUUGAGUCCGGUAGGUCUACUUGCCAGCAACCCCCAAUUUUUACAGGUUGACCUCGGAUCAGGUAGGGAUACCCGCUGAACUUAAGCAUAUCAAUAAGCGGAGGA
Molecule: unclassified non-coding RNA, 329 nt
Filed under: soil metagenome
Description: partial contains 5.8S ribosomal RNA, internal transcribed spacer 2, and large subunit ribosomal RNA
Rfam family: 5.8S ribosomal RNA (bases 2-120)
Source: RNAcentral